GAUGAACGCUGGCGGCGUGCCUAAUACAUGCAAGUCGAGCGAACGGACGAGAAGCUUGCUUCUCUGAUGUUAGCGGCGGACGGGUGAGUAACACGUGGAUAACCUACCUAUAAGACUGGGAUAACUUCGGGAAACCGGAGCUAAUACCGGAUAAUAUUUUGAACCGCAUGGUUCAAAGGUGAAAGACGGUCUUGCUGUCACUUAUAGACGGAUCCGCGCUGCAUUAGCUAGUUGGUAAGGUAACGGCUUACCAAGGCAACGAUGCAUAGCCGACCUGAGAGGGUGAUCGGCCACACUGGAACUGAGACACGGUCCAGACUCCUACGGGAGGCAGCAGUAGGGAAUCUUCCGCAAUGGGCGAAAGCCUGACGGAGCAACGCCGCGUGAGUGAUGAAGGUCUUCGGAUCGUAAAACUCUGUUAUUAGGGAAGAACAUAUGUGUAAGUAACUGUGCACAUCUUGACGGUACCUAAUCAGAAAGCCACGGCUAACUACGUG
Molecule: ribosomal RNA, 497 nt
Filed under: uncultured bacterium
Lineage: Bacteria
Description: partial 16S ribosomal RNA
Rfam family: Bacterial small subunit ribosomal RNA
Source: RNAcentral